This 111-nucleotide ribosomal RNA is filed under the name Gracilibacillus phocaeensis. The record is from RNAcentral. Lineage: Bacteria; Bacillati; Bacillota; Bacilli; Caryophanales; Bacillaceae.
UGGUGACGAUAGCGAAGAGGUCCCACCUGUUCCCAUGCCGAACACAGUAGUUAAGCUCUUCAGCGCCCAUGGUAGUUGGGGAUUUCCCCUGCAAGAGUAGGACGUUGCCAG